Molecule: non-coding RNA, 55 nt
Filed under: unclassified sequences
Source: RNAcentral
AGGUACCGCUCUAACUUCGCGCUCCCACCACUCGGUACAAGUGGCGUGCGCGUAU